This 551-nucleotide ribosomal RNA is filed under the name uncultured Glomeromycotina. Its description in RNAcentral is "SSU rRNA". It matches the Rfam family "Eukaryotic small subunit ribosomal RNA", at positions 548 to 1098 of the family's 1831-position model. Lineage: Eukaryota; Fungi; Glomeromycota. The record is from RNAcentral.
UUGGAGGGCAAGUCUGGUGCCAGCAGCCGCGGUAAUUCCAGCUCCAAUAGCGUAUAUUAAAGUUGUUGCAGUUAAAAAGCUCGUAGUUGAACUUCGGGGUUUACUCAUUGGUCAGGCUUAGGUGUCCGCACUGGUGAGAUGGAUCUCUACCUUCUGAGGAACUUUCAUGCCAUUUAUUUGGUGUGAUUGGAAAUCAGGACUGUUACUUUGAAAAAAUUAGAGUGUUUAAAGCAGACUAUCGUCUGAAUACAUUAGCAUGGAAUAAUGAAAUAGGACGGACUGAUUCUAUUUCGUUGGUUUCUAGGAUCACCGUAAUGAUUAAUAGGGAUAGUUGGGGGCAUUAGUAUUCAAUUGUCAGAGGUGAAAUUCUUGGAUUUAUUGAAGACUAACUACUGCGAAAGCAUUUGCCAAGGAUGUUUUCAUUAAUCAAGAACGAAAGUUAGGGGAUCGAAGACGAUCAGAUACCGUCGUAGUCUUAACCAUAAACUAUGCCGACUAGGGAUCGGACGAAGUUAAUUUUAUAAUGACGCGUUCGGCGCCUUACGGGAAAC